UACGUAGGGGGCAAGCGUUGUCCGGAUUUAUUGGGCGUAAAGAGCGUGUAGGCGGCCAGACAGGUCCGUUGUGAAAACUCGAGGCUCAACCUCGAGACGCCGAUGGAAACCGUUUGGCUAGAGUCCGGAAGAGGAGAGUGGAAUUCCUGGUGUAGCGGUGAAAUGCGCUGAUAUCAGGAAGAACACCCGUGGCUAAGGCGGCUCUCUAGUACGGUACUGACGCUGAGACGCGAAAGCGUGGGGAGCGAACAGG
RNAcentral lists this ribosomal RNA (253 nucleotides) under uncultured bacterium. Its description in RNAcentral is "partial 16S ribosomal RNA". It matches the Rfam family "Bacterial small subunit ribosomal RNA", at positions 524 to 776 of the family's 1533-position model. The record is from RNAcentral.